CUUGAUCGAACCCAGCCACAGCGGGCGGUCCCGCUCCUGGCCGUAGGUGGCCAGCAGAGCCUGUGCCUC
This is an antisense RNA of 69 nucleotides. It matches the Rfam family "ASpks TB sRNA".